UUUGAUGUUUAUAUAAACAGGGAUUUGAAAAAAUAAUAGUCAGACUUAGUUUCUUGCUUACGACGUAAACAAUAUCACAUUAAUAUCAUUAAAACUAUAAUUAAAACAAUGGAUGAUAAAAAAGUGUAUAGAUCGUGGAACGGUAUUGACUCGGGUGAAGAAAUUGUUAUUUCUGGUAUUAGCGGCAGAUUUCCAGAUUCAGACAAUAUGAAUCAAUUACGAGAAAAUCUAUUUAAUAAAGUUGACCUUAUUAAAGCAAAUCAUGAUCGAUGGAAAGAAGAUCUUCUUCCGGAUAUGUCAAGCCGUAUGGGAACAGUUAACAAUGUGAACAAAUUUGAUACCAAUUUCUUUGAAUUAUCUUUUGAUCAAACGCAAACACUCUCAUCUGAAACGAGAUUAUUAAUGGAACAUUGUUAUGAAGCAAUUGUCGAUGCGGGAAUUAAUCCAAAGCAAUUACGAGGAAAAAAUACUGCUGUAAUUACAGGGACAUGUUUUAUUGAAACGCAAAAAGAUUUUCCAUAUAAGAAAGAAGAGUUAGGUGGCUUGAAUAUUAUUGGAUGUAGCAAAUCUACAACAGCAAACAUGAUUUCAUACUACUUGGAUAUAAAAGGACCGUCACAUGCAGUUGAUACAGCAUGCAGUUCUAGCCUUUAUGCUAUGGCACUUGGUUAUAAUUAUAUUAUGUCAGGAGUAUGCGAAGAUGCGAUAAUUGGGACUGCAAAUCUAUGUCUUAAUCCAGUUAUUAAUCUUCUAUUCACUAAUCUUGGUGUUUUGUCACCUAAUGGUUAUUCCAGACCUUUUGAUUCUGCUGCAAAUGGUUUUGUGCGUGCUGAAACGGUGGCAGUGAUAUAUCUACAAAAAGCAAAAAAUGCAAAAAGGAUUUAUGCUAUAUGUCCACAUAUUAAAGUAAACAGUGAUGGUUAUAAACAAGAAGGAAUAACAUUUCCAUCGUCUUUCAUGCAGAGUACUCUACUAACGGAACUUUACAAUGAAUGCGGAAUAUCGACAUCUUGUUUGGAUUACAUUGAAGCACAUGGUACCGGUACCAAAGUUGGCGAUCCUCAGGAAAUCAAGGCUAUCUGCGAUGUUCUUUGUACAAAUAGAAAAGGUCCAUUAAUGAUUGGUUCUGUUAAAUCUAAUCUUGGUCAUGCUGAACCAGCAAGCGGCAUCACUCAGAUUGCUAAGGUGAUAAUAGCAUUCGAAAGCGGUUUUGUCCCUCCAAAUAUUAAUUAUACAACACCACGGAAUGAUACAGAUGCCUUAAUAAAUGGUACUAUUCGUGUCGUCGAAAAACCGAUGCCACUUAAAAACGGUUACAUAGGUAUCAGUUCUUUUGGUUUCGGAGGAGCUAAUGUUCAUGCAUUGUUAAAGUGGAAUCACAAACAGAAAAUUAACAACGGUUUAUCGAAUGAUGAUUUGCCAAGACUUGUGAUAUUAUCUGGACGUACUGAAGAAUCUGUGAAAUUGUUUUUAAACGACGUCAUUAAUCAUUCAAUAGACAAAGAAUACAUCCGUUUAUUACACGAUAUCCAUGCAGACAAUAUAGAAGGUCAUCCAUGGAGAGGAUUUAUUAUACUUAAUAAUCAGCAACAAGAAUCAAUAAAGGAAAUUCAAAAUUGUGAAAGCACGAAAAGACCUGUUUGGUUUAUAUUUUCUGCUCUAGGAACUCAAUGGCCAGGAAUGGGACAAAACUUAUUAAAAUUUCAAGUUUUUGCAAAUACAAUAAAAAUGUGCGAUAUUAUUUUGAAACCAUAUGGUAUAAGUGUCACGGAUAUUUUGACAAGGACCGAUGAAAAAUUGUGCGAAAACGCUUUAUAUGCCUUUCUUGGUAUCGUCGCUAUUCAGAUUGGCUUAGUAGAUCUCUUGACAUUGUUAGGAAUUACUCCGGAUUACAUGAUUAGUCAUUCCGCUGGUGAACUCGGUUGCGCUUAUGCGGAUAAAUGUCUCACUAUUGAACAAACUAUUUUGUCAGCAUACUUUAUAGGUUUGGCAUGUGUCGAAGGAAAAGUAAUUUGCAGCUCUAUGGCACUCGUCAGUCUUAAUUACGGAAAUCUAAAAAGUAUGUGUCCAGCAGAUAUUGAAAUAAUAUGCCGCAAUAGCGGAAAUAGCAAUAUUGUGUGUGGACCGACAGAAUCCAUACAAAAAUUUAUGGAAAAAUUGCAGCUUAAUAAUAUUUACGUGAAAGAGAUCUAUUGCAACGUACCGUAUCACAGUUCUUAUCUCGCAUCCGUGAAAACGCAACUUCUGUUAAAUUUAAACAAUGUAAUACCGUGGCCAAAGAAACGGAGUUCAAAAUGGAUUAGUUCUUCAAUAUCUCGAACGGAAUGGUUCACUUCAGCGUCAAGUUUAUCAUCGGCGGACUAUCAUACGAAUAGUAUAUUAAACACCGUUCUUUUUGAACAAACUACACAACUAAUUCCAAGUAAUGCUGUGAUUAUCGAAAUUGCACCAAACAGUGUUUUGCAAAACGUUUUGAAAGGAUCCUUGGAUUCAAAAAUAGCAGACGUUGUACUGAAUAAACGUACUGAACAAAAUAUUCAAGUAUUUUUAAGAGGAAUUGGAAGGCUCUACAAUUAUGGUUUACAGCCGCAGAUCGCCAAUCUGUACCCGCCAGUGGAAUUUCCAGUUAGCCGAGGAACUCCUAUGAUCUCUCCAUCGAUUAGAUGGAAUCAUUUGAAAGAAUGGUUUAUACCGGAGUGUAAAGUAGGUAAGUACGCAGAAAGAGAAAGAUACAUCAAAAUUGCACUUAAAGAUGUGGAGCACGAUUAUUUGGUCGGACACGUAAUAGAUGGGAAAAAUUUGCUGCCUGCAACAUGUUAUCUUGUACUUGUUUGGCAAACUAUUGGCAUGAUGAAAGGAUUAAUGUUUUCAACAGUACCGAUAAUAUUUCGAGAUGUAAAAUUUAUUCGUGCUACUCAUUUGACAAAAAAUAAUAAUGUAACAUUAAGGAUUGUGAUACAAAAAGAUGGGAAGUUUGAAAUAACCGAAGGUGAUAGCGUUGUGGUAACAGGCACAGCGUAUGACAUAUCGAAUCCAGAAAAAGAAAUGACUUCGACAGACUUAUUAUUAGAGAAUUAUGAUGAAGAAGAACAAAUGACGACCCGAGAUAUCUACAAAGAGUUGAAACUCCGCGGUUAUCAGUAUAGCGGCUGGUUUCGUGGAAUAAAGAGUGCAUCCGUUUCAGGUAAUAAAGGACAUAUCAUUUGGAAAAAUUGGGUAACGUUUAUGGAUACCAUGCUACAAAUGCGUCUGAUCGGAUAUGACACUAGGGAUUUGUAUGUUCCUACGAGUAUUCGAAGAUUGGUGAUUAAUCCUGAACUUCAUAUUUCGAUGCUACGAAAUAAUGCAGAUUAUGUAAAAGAUACCAUAUUACCCAUACAAAUAUACAGAGAUAUAGACACUAUUAUAGCUGGCGGGAUAGAGAUACAAGGGCUUAAAGCUACUCAGAUUUCUCGUCGGAAGUUAACCCAACAGGCUGUUAUCGAGCAGCACAUAUUUAUAUCUCAUCAAGAUCGCGCUGAAAUUUCUUUAAAUGAGGCGAUUCGGAUAUCAGCACAACUCGUGCUGGAAGAUCAUCAAAUCACUAAAGUGAAAGCCAUUGAGCUGGUGGAAGACGUGGACGAUGUUACAUUAGAAUACCUUUCAUCUUCGUUGUUGAUUGAAGCUUUUGAGGAUAUACCAUUGAUACAAACAAAUGUCACUCUAUUAACAUCGCCGAAUCGUUUCAGUUCAGCAGACUUAUUAGAAAAUAUUUUAAUUGCUGAUAUAAACAAACCAACUGUAAACGAUAAAGUCUUAAUAGCUGCCGGUUUCAAUCUUCUGUCUAAACAUCAAGCUUCUUUAGAGCGACUUUUGCCAUUUCUAAAAGAAGGUGGCUAUUUGUUGUCGCGUGAAAAGUGCGACAUAUAUGACUAUAGCAAGUAUCAGCAACAAUACAAAUUAAACCUUAUUCUUGAAAAGCGCACCGAUAAAGAAAUGAUUGUUCUUAUGAAGAAGAAAGUUUAUGUAAAAAAACAAAUUGUUGUUCGUAUAAGUAAUAAUAAUUUUAACUGGUUAGUUGAUUUAAAGCCGCUUGUAAGCGAUGAAAGCAAACUCGAGGAGGAUAGUAGAAUCAUAAUUGUCGGAGAGGGAGACUCUGAGUGUGGUCUGUUGGGUUUUGUUAACUGCUUGAGAAAAGAACCAGGUGGAGAACUGGUUAGGGGUGUGCUUAUUCAAGACAAGGAGGCUCCUAAAUUUUCUCUUCAAGACCCCUUCUAUUUACAACAAUUAGAAAAAGACACGACUAUUAAUGUAUUACGAUCUGAUAGAAUCUGGGGAUCGUACAGACAUUUACGAUUACCACAACAGAAAGCCAAACCUGUUUCUACCGCUCACGUUAGCCAAACGGUUCGUGGUGAUUUGAGUACAUUUUGUUGGAUAGAGAAUAAUCUAACCAUUCGAUAUCGUCGUGAAGACUUAGUACAUGUUGUAUAUUCAUCCCUUAAUUUUAAAGAUGUAAUGCUCGCUACUGGUAAAUUAGUACCUAAUAUUGCGCUUUAUCGAGGACGGUUACUUGAAUGUAUUUCUCUUGGAUUGGAAUAUGUUGGAUUCGACGCUACCGGGCAACGAGUAAUGGGAGUGAAUGAUACUGAUUGUAUAGCAAACGUUGUUGUAAAGAAUAAAGACUUAUGUUGGAAAGUACCGGACGCGUGGACAUUUGAAGAGGCUGCGACGGUUCCAUGCGUUUAUUGUACAGUUUACUUCGCCUUAUACAUUUAUGGAAAAAUGAAAAAAGGCGAUAAAGUACUUAUACACUCUGGUACUGGCGGCAUUGGACAGGCAGCUAUUCAUCUCGCUCUCAAAGAAGGAUGCGAAGUAUUCACUACUGUAGGCACGAACGAGAAACGUAAUUUUAUUAAAAAAGUGUUUCCUACAAUUUUGGAUGAACAUAUUGGAAAUUCUCGAGAUACCAGCUUUGAACAAAUGAUAAUGCAACAAACGAACGGUCGUGGCGUUGACAUCGUGUUAAAUUCACUGGCGGAGGAAAAGCUAAUCGCCUCCAUUCGUUGUUUGGCCCAAAAUGGUCGUUUUUUGGAGAUCGGAAAGUUUGAUCUUGUUUCUAACAAUCCUCUUUGUAUUUCUGCGUUUCAGAAGGGUAUUAGUUUUCAUGGAAUUUUAUUAGAUAAUUUAUUGAUUGGUGAUCACAAGUAUAAAUCCAUAUUAGGCAAAAUGAUAACCGAUGGUCUUAAGAACCUAACCAUCAAACCUAUUCAAGUAAAAGUUUUCCCGAAAACAGAUAUUGAAGGAGCUUUUAGAUACAUGGCGAGUGGAAAACACAUGGGAAAGAUUAUUAUAAAUAUUCAGGAAAGAAACAAACCUUUAGAUGAACCCAUUAUCGCAUAUCGUCGUUUUUAUUGUCUUAGGAACAAAAGUUAUAUUAUAUUGGGUGGUUUGGGUGGAUUUGGUUUAGAGUUAACAGAUUGGCUAAUAUUUCGUGGUGCCAGGAACAUAGUAUUGGUUUCACGAACUGGAAUAAAAAAUGGUUACCAACGCAUGAAGGUUCGACUAUGGGAAUCGUAUGGUGUAAAUGUGCUAAUCAUCAAGAAUAUCGAUGUCGCUGAUCCCAAAGGUUGUGAAUACCUUUUGCAAACUGCGGAAAACGAAGCACCAGUGGACGCGAUAUUUAACCUCGGUGUGGUGUUGAAAGAUAAUGUUCUAAAGAAUCAAACGGUGGAAACGUUUGCAGAGUCUUUUCAGUCAAAGGCCCGAGCGACGCAAACUUUGGAUAAACUUUCCAGAAAGUUUUGUCCCAAACUGAGGCAUUUCGUAGUAUUCUCUUCCGUUUCCUGUGGUAGAGGCAACCUUGGACAGACUAAUUACGGCAUGGCCAACUCUGUUAUGGAAAGAGUUUGCGAAAAGAGGGUUGAAGAAGGAUUACCCGGAUUAGCAAUUCAAUGGGGAGCUGUUGGUGACGUGGGUCUCGUCGCUGACAUGCAGGAGAACGAUAAGGAAUUGAUUAUCGGUGGUACCUUACAACAAAAGAUAUCCUGCUGUCUUGACGAACUCGAUAAGUUUUUACUUCAAAGCCACCCUGUUGUGAGUAGUAUGGUAGUAGCUGAAAAGAAAUUGGUAUCUAUUGGAUAUGGAAGUCCGAUAGAAGCUAUCGCCAGUAUUUUAGAUAUAAAAGACAUAAAAGUUGUUAGUCAAAAUAUAUCUCUGGCUGAACUUGGAAUGGAUUCCAUGAUGGCUGUUGAAAUCAAACAAACUUUGGAACGAGAAUUCGACAUUUUUCUCACUGCACAAGAAAUAUCUAAUCUCACCAUUGCAAAACUUAAUAAGAUGUUUAAUACAAACAUCAAUAAUGAUGAUAUGCAGCAUAAGAAUAAUCUUUAUGCAGAAGAGGCCUAUGCCAUAAAAUUGCCAGUUAGUAUUGUACGAGACGAAGAUUUUAUUUCAGAGAACUGUUUUGAUCUCUCGGCCGGAAAACGGAAUACUACAACUGAAGUCUUUCUUAUACCGGGAAUCGACGGUUGUGGAACGGUAUUUCGUCAUUUAGCUGCAGAUAUUAAAUUUUCAGCAAUGUCUUUGCAUUAUAACACAAAUAACAUCGAUGCCACGAACGUCAUAUUGGAGACGACUGAUUAUGUUAUCAAUCAUGUAUUAUCAAAACUAAAAGACGGAAAAGACUUUGUAAUGGUAGGAUACUCCUUCGGAUCUAUUAUUGCAAUUGAGUUAACAAGAAGAUUGGAAGACUUGAAUUUCAAAGGCCGUUUGGUUCUUAUCGACGGUGCUCCUGAACUAAUGCGAAUGAUAUACAAAUGUUCUCCACCAAAUUUUGACGAUGUGGAUCUUCAGUUGGCUGUUUUGAUUAAUAUUAUAGAACUCUAUUCACCAGGAUCUAGUAAAAAAAUUGUAAUGGACCUGGAGAAAUGUAAUACCUGGGAAGAACGAUACAAUAUUUUUGCAAGAAUGUUUUUAGUUAUGAAUACGUCACUGUCUUCAGCAAAUUUAAAGACGUUGUGUAUCACUGUUUACAAACAUUUAUCCGCUAUUCGACACUACGAACCUUCUACAUUGCCACUCAUUAAUUCUCCUAUAAUUUUGUUAAAACCUACACAACCGUUGAAUAUACCAAUGACGGAUGAAGAUUAUGGUUUGCAAAAGGUAACUAAAAAUGUAGUUCAAGUACAUUACGUCGAUGGUACUCAUGUGACAAUAUUGAGAAACAAAAAAGUGUCGGCUGCAAUUAACGGGGAACCACCCUUUAUUAUUUGAGGAUGGCAGCCAUGGGUUUGGAUUUUCCGUAUACUGGAGGGUGUUUUAUAAAUGGUGUAACUUUAAGAAAUACAGCAGUAAUUACUCCCCUCUUGUCAGAAGAAGAAGCAAGAAGUCCUCUAGGCUCAAGAAGGAAAAGCACGGGCAGCAAAGUAAUAGAAUUGAGCAUAAUAAACAACGAGUUAUCGAGAGACUACAAAUUAGAUUGGAGAACUGGAAUUGGAUAAAUAAUAAAGUAGCUUGGUUAGAAGUUAAAAAAGGAUUUUUCCAUUUCUACAGCGUGCGCACGUGAAAAAAUAAAUAUGAAAUGAGUGCUUAUUCAAAAAUAAAAUAAAAAGAGCAACAGUAAAGCAAUGCUCUUGAAAGUUAA
RNAcentral lists this unclassified non-coding RNA (7624 nucleotides) under Monomorium pharaonis (pharaoh ant). RNAcentral's name for it is "fatty acid synthase-like, transcript variant X5". The record is from RNAcentral. Lineage: Eukaryota; Metazoa; Arthropoda; Insecta; Hymenoptera; Formicidae.